RNAcentral lists this ribosomal RNA (533 nucleotides) under uncultured bacterium. RNAcentral's name for it is "bacterial SSU rRNA". It matches the Rfam family "Bacterial small subunit ribosomal RNA", at positions 776 to 1304 of the family's 1533-position model. The record is from RNAcentral.
UAAUAGAUACCCAGGUAGUUCACGCCCUAAACGAUGUCUACUAGUUGUUGGUGGAGUAAAUCCAUUAGUAACGCAGCUAACGCGUGAAGUAGACCGCCUGGGGAGUACGGUCGCAAGAUUAAAACUCAAAGGAAUUGACGGGGGGCCCGCACAAGCGGUGGAUUAUGUGGAUUAAUUCGAUGCAACGCGAAAAACCUUACCUGGCCUUGACAUGCCACUAACGAAGCAGAGAUGCAUUAGGUGCCCGAAAGGGGAAAGUGGACACAGGUGCUGCAUGGCUGUCGUCAGCUCGUGUCGUGAGAUGUUGGGUUAAGUCCCGCAACGAGCGCAACCCUUGCCAAUAAUUGCCAUCAUUCAGUUGGGCACUUUAUUGGGACUGCCGGUGACAAACCGGAGGAAGGUGGGGAUGACGUCAAGUCCUCAUGGCCCUUAUGGCCAGGGCUUCACACGUAAUACAAGUGGUCGGUACAGAGGGUAGCCAAGCCGCGAGGUGGAGCCAAUCCCAGAAAGCCGAUCGUAGUCCGGAUUGCAGU